This 878-nucleotide long non-coding RNA is filed under the name Marmota monax (woodchuck). The record is from RNAcentral. Lineage: Eukaryota; Metazoa; Chordata; Mammalia; Rodentia; Sciuridae.
CGCGGCCCUGCCCUCCGCUGCCCCUGCUCCCCGCGCUCGCUGUCGCCAACGCGGGCUCGCCCAGCUCCCCGGCCGGGCACCCGGGGCCGAGGCGCGGCCGCCCUGCCCUCUGCGCGGUGCCCACACGGGCACGCCUGGCGCCGCGUCCUCCCGGCGCUCGGGCCACUCCGGGCCGUCUCCAGGGGAGGAGGCGGGGGUGCGCGUGUGCACACGGCCUGCGGGAGUGAGUGUGUGCACACGGCCUGCGGGAGUGAGUGUGUGCACACGGCCUGCGGGGGUGCGCGUGCGGACACGAGCGCACGCGUGGACACACCGUCGUGGUGUGACGAUGAGGCUGGCGCCGCCUGGCCGUUUGAGCUCACUGGCUUUUUUUCAGAAAAGAACUGAGCCUGAGCGCCUGGCGCAGGAACGACAGCCGGAUGCCAGUCUGCAGCGCCGCACCGACAUCCCGGCCCGGAAGAGAACGGGCGAGCCAGAGGCGGCGCGAGCUCUGGGAUUCGAACCCUCAGCCAAAGGCGGAGCGGCAUGGCGCAGGCGCGGACCUGAGCGGAAGCGCAGAGCAGGCUCAGCACCCACAGUUCCGCGCGUGGGCCGCGUCCGGAAGUCCGAUGCGGGGAAUCUCCGAUCCUCGUCCUCUGAUUCGUUACCCGCCAUUUCCACUUCCGCAGACAAUUCGGUUCCUCUUCCCGCCGUCCGCGAGACAUGUACCCAUCCGUAGGAAGUGCGCGCCCGCCCUGUUUUGUUUCCGGGGGAGUAGGCUUCUUAGAAAGACACUCGUGACUUCCGGUGUUCCCCUUAUCCUGAUUGGCUGGAUUUGUGAAUUCAUUAAAGCAUAGGAAAAAAAAAUCUGCUCUCUUCUUACUCAAAUUAAUAAAGGC